GUGGGGAAUAUUGGACAAUGGGCGAAAGCCUGAUCCAGCCAUGCCGCGUGUGUGAAGAAGGUCUUCGGAUUGUAAAGCACUUUAAGUUGGGAGGAAGGGCAGUAAGUUAAUACUUUGCUGUUUUGACGUUACCGACAGAAUAAGCACCGGCUAACUUCGUGCCAGCAGCCGCGGUAAUACGAAGGGUUCAAGCGUUAAUCGGAAUUACUGGGCGUAAAGCGCGCGUAGGUGGUUUUGUAAGUUGGAGGUGAAUUCCCCGGGCUCUACCUGGGAACUGCCUCAAAAACUGCAUGACUAGAGUACGGUAGAGGGUAGUGGAAUUUCCUGUGUAGCGGUGAAAUGCGUAGAUAUAGGAAGGAACACCAGUGGCGAAGGCGACUACCUGGACUGAUACUGACACUGAGGUGCGAAAGCGUGGGGAGCAAACAGGAUUAGAAACCCCAGUAGUCC
Molecule: ribosomal RNA, 450 nt
Filed under: uncultured bacterium
Lineage: Bacteria
Description: bacterial SSU rRNA
Rfam family: Bacterial small subunit ribosomal RNA
Source: RNAcentral